RNAcentral lists this ribosomal RNA (237 nucleotides) under uncultured bacterium. Its description in RNAcentral is "partial 16S ribosomal RNA". It matches the Rfam family "Bacterial small subunit ribosomal RNA", at positions 118 to 353 of the family's 1533-position model. The record is from RNAcentral.
UGAGCAAUCUGCCCUUCUCUUUGGAAUAAGCGUUGGAAACGACGUCUAGUGCCGAAUACGACCUCCUUUCGCAUGAUCGGAGGUGGAAAGCUCCGGCGGAGAAGGAUGAGCUCGCGGCCUAUCAGCUAGUUGGUGUGGGUAAUGGCCCACCAAGGCGACGACGGGUAGCCGGCCUGAGAGGGUGACCGGCCACACUGGGACUGAGACACGGCCCAGACCUCCGUACGGGAGGNAGCG